CCGCAGUUGGGAGGGGCCCGCGGCCCAUUAGCUUGUUGGUGGGGUCAAGGCCUACCAAGGCAACGAUGGGUAGCUGGUCUGAGAGGACGAUCAGCCACACUGGGACUGAGACACGGCCCAGACUCCUACGGGAGGCAGCAGUGGGGAAUCUUGCGCAAUGCGCGAAAGCGUGACGCAGCAACACCGCGUGAGGGAAGACGGCCUUAGGGUUGUAAACCUCUUUCAGAUGGGACGAAGGUUGUCCGGUUAAUAGCCGAGAUAAUUGACGGUACCGUCAGAAGAAGCUCCGGCUAACUACGUG
RNAcentral lists this ribosomal RNA (301 nucleotides) under uncultured bacterium. RNAcentral describes it as "bacterial SSU rRNA". It matches the Rfam family "Bacterial small subunit ribosomal RNA", at positions 215 to 507 of the family's 1533-position model. The record is from RNAcentral.